AACUAGCACUUUGUAAAUAAAUGAAAACAUAGGCUGGAAUUUCAACAGAAUUUUCAAUUUUAGCUCAAUUUUAAUUUUGCUUUGAUGGAAUCCUGGUCUUCAGCAAUUUUUCUUAGUGGUUUUCUGCUUCAGACCUAAAGCGAGUAUUCCAAUGCACAUCACCCCGGAAGGAGGAGUGGCUGGAAACCAGGGCAGUGGGUUAGAUGGCAUGACUGGCAGCUCAGGAGCCCUUAACAACAGCUCUGCAUCUCCCUGACAGCCAUCACUUAAUGCUUCAUUCUGGACUUCAGCCCGGACCACUAGCAGCCUGUCCUGAGUGUGCAGUUACAGGUGGGAAUUACUUGCCUAAGCAGAAAAAGAAGGGAAUAAGGAGAGAGGCAGAUGUACCUGAAGUGAAUUGCAAAAAGAUCUGACAACCCCCACCAGAAAUAGAAGUACUUUCUAUAUAUAUAUUUUGAUAUGCAGUGCAAUUUUUUUUACCUCCUAUUUCUCAAACCAUUUCAUUUUCAUUCAGAACAAUUCUUAUUCAUUUACAUGUCAUUAUACAAUGCUGAUAGUAUGUUUAGUGACAAGAAUCACAUAAGCCUGCAGGUUCAGCAACAGUUCAACUAACAGAUAGAUAUUUGUUCCUUCUUAAUGGCAUUAAUUAGGGAGACAUUUGGCUUUUAGUGCACAUUAUUCAUGCUCAAUUAUGGUAGAAUAGAUAGAGAAUUGAAAGACACAAUCACAUCUGUGUUCCUGAAUGAAGAGUCUUUGUGACAUACUUACAGAGAUUGAAGUGUCAUCCAAGUGAAUCAAUUAUAACAAUCAGUUUCCCAAUUCAAUCUGGCAAUUAUUUGCUUUAUGGAAUAGCCAGCUUUGAUUUUGUUUACAGAUUUUAUAAAAACUUUGCAACACAUCCAUAACCAUGUCACCAAUUCAUUGCUUUAUGGAGAUCUAGGGAGACAGCUGUGCAGCUGCAGAGGUUACAGCAGAAUUGAGCCUGGGGAGAGAGUGGGAUGGUCUCCAUUCUCUGCUAAUGCUGGAGAGCAUUAGGGCAAGUCUGUCUCUCUGAGUCGUGGAUCAAAUUUCUGAAUGUGGAUCAUGAAUGAGGGACCCCGAAUGACUCUGGUACUCAGUCUUUCCAGAACUCUUAGUAUGUCACAGAACCACAGAAUCAUGGAAUAAGCUGAGCUGGAAGGGACACACAAGGAUCAUCGAGUUCAACUCCUGGUCCCGCACAGCCCCAUCUCCAAGGGUGUCAUGUGUCUGCCAACAGCACAUAAGAUUUGUGUGAUAAGCAACAGUUUGAUUGUUUUUCAUAAAGGAUUUUGAUCUGCUCAUGUUGAAGUCUAUAGGACAAAAAAAGGCUGAACGUGGCUCAUGUUUAUCAGUGUGGAUGCACUAAAGCAGUAAUGAUUUUUUUGUUAGACUGAAGUUCCUUUAAAAACCCGUAACAGUGUCCUGCAGUGUUUAUUGCUAUGAGAUAUGUCUUCAAACCACAGCUGAAUUUCACAUGUGCUAUCAGGGUGCCUUUACCAUCAGCUCUUUUAGAAUAUGCACUUUUGUGCUUUCCCUGUCUUUACCCACUUUUCCUUUAGUGGGAUAUCUGCGAAUUAAUCCUGAAAAACGCCAGUACUAAACCUUGCUCUAUUCAAGAAAAAUUCAGAUCAUGAAUAAAAAGGAUCUGGAUUUACAUCUCAUUACAGCAAGUAUGAAACCAGCUCUUAUAUUUCUUUGAUGUCUGGCAUAUUUUAACUGAUGGUGAUCUUGAACCAAAUGUUGGAUGGAUGUGUCUUAAAUUACAUAAUUUCUAUCUAAAGGUAUUUCAUUGCAUUUUUCAAGAAGAAUAGGGAAGUGCAGGUUGAGAGAAGAAUUGUUUUUAAUUGAAAUGUUAGGUGUCUCAUGUUUAUUCAAUAAAUGAAUCUAUUAUGAUAGUGCUGUUUCCAGAGAAACUUUGAAAAUUAUUCCCUAGAAACAAAAUUAAGAUCAAUUACCUCCUGCAAAAGUGCUAUACACUUCCAGAGUGGCAAUGGCAUGCAACAGUAAUAGUGGCAAAGCCAGGCUUUUUUCCCUUUAGUAUAUCAGCCAUAGUCAUCAGCUGCUUCUUUCUUUGUCCUAAUAAGGGAAUUAUGAGGAGAAAGUGCUAUUAACAUCAGCAGAGAUGUUUUCUUGCCAGUAUAUGCCCUUUUCCUAUAUGGUGUUGAAGUAUCUUUUGAAAAAGUGUCCUCUCUGUGCCAGUGUGACAUCAAGAGCAAUCUCACAGCAAAGGAGGUCCCUUACCAGCUAGUUCCUGCCACAGGGUAGACUUCCUCUGAUGACUCAGCCAAAAGUUGGGUACUGGGUUUAUUUUCUCUUCAAACGCUGCUAAUGGCCAUCAAUAGCAAAUCACAGGGGGAUUCAGAGCCCUUCCUUCAGCAAUGUAAGAGAAAAAUAGAUUUCUACAGGUGGAAGAACAGCAUGAAAUGCUGCAGAAAUAACUCCUGUAAUGAUUCAUGAAUCUAAUUAUUAUUGUAAUUAAUGAUGAUACCAUGCUUAGAGCCAUUAGUACAAAUCUCAAAUAAA
Long non-coding RNA from Catharus ustulatus (Swainson's thrush), 2544 nucleotides. RefSeq lists it as uncharacterized. NCBI's taxonomy places the organism in Eukaryota, Metazoa, Chordata, Aves, Passeriformes, Turdidae. The record is from RefSeq and is a predicted model, not a curated record. The transcript has 3 exons.